UGGACUUUGCCUUAUUUUUGUUUUUACUACGUGUUACUGAUUGGCACCUUGCUGCUGACUUCAAAGUUAUGGAAGAACAAAACACAAGUCAGGAAAUGGACAGUCUUGCAACUCAAGUUGUCCCAUCCACAUCUAAUAAAGGUGAGA
Long non-coding RNA from Pundamilia nyererei, 147 nucleotides. RefSeq lists it as uncharacterized. Lineage: Eukaryota; Metazoa; Chordata; Actinopteri; Cichliformes; Cichlidae. The transcript is spliced from 3 exons. The record is from RefSeq and is a predicted model, not a curated record.